This is a long non-coding RNA of Lathyrus oleraceus (garden pea), 920 nucleotides long. RefSeq lists it as uncharacterized. The transcript has 2 exons. The record is from RefSeq and is a predicted model, not a curated record. Lineage: Eukaryota; Viridiplantae; Streptophyta; Magnoliopsida; Fabales; Fabaceae.
GAAUGGGACUAAGGCAAAGGAAAAGCCUAACCGGGAUCUCAUGCUAUCAGCUAAAUGCAAAGACGUUCAACCUUCAAAUUCAAAAUCCCUAAUGUAACGAGCUUGUGGCCUUCAGCCGAUUACCAUUCGCCCCUUCGACCUUCAACCUUCAACCUUCAAUCGAAUCCUCCAAAGACACUAGCAACCUGCAAUCAAACCUUCAAAAGCAUUCUCAACCUUCAAUGGAAUCCUCCAAACGCACUCUCAACCUUCCUGCGAACACAAUUACGAUAACCGCUUCCCAAGAUCGUGCUUCAAGAUGCCAUGGAAACCUUCGGUCGUACUCAGAAUCGCUUCCUGCAAAUUGCAUUGUAUUCGCUUCGAAUUCAACAAUCGUGGAAUCACAUGGAAGAUUAGGCACAACGGAAUCCAAAGCUUAGGUUGAUCUUGAUAAUCACUUCUGAAUCGCAGACUUGAUAAGAACGAUGAAGGAGAAUUUAUUCCGAAGGAAAUUGCAUCAAUAACUUACGUGAGGUUUUCAUAUUACAUAGCGAAAUCCGAUGCGGUUUCGACGAUGUUAGCGGCUUCGUAGGGCUGACUAUGGGAUUUGGAUCAUGAUUCAAGAAUUCUUGGAGUAGAGCUAUAAUGAAAGUCAAGGCGAUGACUUCAAGAAACAUGGCUCACCUAUGAAUGAAGCAAACUUGGGAUUGAAGCCAUAAGGAAAUAUGGACAAAUGAACAAACAUAGUGAACAUUUAGGAUUAGGCUUAUGGUUUUAUGUAAUUGUUUUUAUGCAAAUUCCUUUGUCGCUUUAUAAUGGUUUGAACUUAGCAAUGUAAAUGGUGAUGAUUUGAAUGGAAAAUUGAGUGAUGUUUGUAAUUGUGAUAAAUUAAAAUCUGUAAAUGGUUUGCAUAGUAUUGAAAAAUUAUUUGGAAAAUGAAA